GAAAUGCGAUAAGUAAUGUGAAUUGCAGAAUUCAGUGAAUCAUCGAAUCUUUGAACGCACCUUGCGCUCCUUGGUAUUCCUUGGAGCAUGCCUGUUUGAGUAUCAUGAAAUCUUCAAAGUAUAUCUUUUGUUAACUCAAUUGGUUUCUACUUUGGUAUUGUAGGUCUUUGCAGCUUCACACCUGCUCCUCUUUGUUCAUUAGCUGGAUCUCAGUGUUAUGCUUGGUUCCACUCGGCGUGAUAAGUUAUCUAUCGCUGAGGACACUGUAAAAGGUGGCCAAGGUAAAUGCAGAUGAACUGCUUCUAAUAGUCCAUUGACUUGGACAAUACUUUUAUGAUCUGAUCUCAAAUCAGGUAGGACUACCCGCUGAACUUAAGC
This 378-nucleotide unclassified non-coding RNA is filed under the name plant metagenome. RNAcentral describes it as "partial contains 5.8S ribosomal RNA, internal transcribed spacer 2, and large subunit ribosomal RNA". The stretch from base 1 to 105 matches the Rfam family "5.8S ribosomal RNA", at positions 50 to 154 of the family's 154-position model. The record is from RNAcentral.